AGAGUUUGAUCCUGGCUCAGAUUGAACGCUGGCGGCAGGCCUAACACAUGCAAGUCGAACGGUAACAGGAAGAAGCUUGCUUCUUUGCUGACGAGUGGCGGACGGGUGAGUAAUGUCUGGGAAACUGCCUGAUGGAGGGGGAUAACUACUGGAAACGGUAGCUAAUACCGCAUAACGUCGCAAGACCAAAGAGGGGGACCUUCGGGCCUCUUGCCAUCGGAUGUGCCCAGAUGGGAUUAGCUAGUAGGUGGGGUAACGGCUCACCUAGGCGACGAUCCCUAGCUGGUCUGAGAGGAUGACCAGCCACACUGGAACUGAGACACGGUCCAGACUCCUACGGGAGGCAGCAGUGGGGAAUAUUGCACAAUGGGCGCAAGCCUGAUGCAGCCAUGCCGCGUGUAUGAAGAAGGCCUUCGGGUUGUAAAGUACUUUCAGCGGGGAGGAAGGGAGUAAAGUUAAUACCUUUGCUCAUUGACGUUACCCGCAGAAGAAGCACCGGCUAACUCCGUGCCAGCAGCCGCGGUAAUACGGAGGGUGCAAGCGUUAAUCGGAAUUACUGGGCGUAAAGCGCACGCAGGCGGUUUGUUAAGUCAGAUGUGAAAUCCCCGGGCUCAACCUGGGAACUGCAUCUGAUACUGGCAAGCUUGAGUCUCGUAGAGGGGGGUAGAAUUCCAGGUGUAGCGGUGAAAUGCGUAGAGAUCUGGAGGAAUACCGGUGGCGAAGGCGGCCCCCUGGACGAAGACUGACGCUCAGGUGCGAAAGCGCGGGGAGCAAACAGGAUUAGAUACCCUGGUAGUCCACGCCGUAAACGAUGUCGACUUGGAGGUUGUGCCCUUGAGGCGUGGCUUCCGGAGCUAACGCGUUAAGUCGACCGCCUGGGGAGUACGGCCGCAAGGUUAAAACUCAAAUGAAUUGACGGGGGCCCGCACAAGCGGUGGAGCAUGUGGUUUAAUUCGAUGCAACGCGAAGAACCUUACCUGGUCUUGACAUCCACGGAAGUUUUCAGAGAUGAGAAUGUGCCUUCGGGAACCGUGAGACAGGUGCUGCAUGGCUGUCGUCAGCUCGUGUUGUGAAAUGUUGGGUUAAGUCCCGCAACGAGCGCAACCCUUAUCCUUUGUUGCCAGCGGUCCGGCCGGGAACUCAAAGGAGACUGCCAGUGAUAAACUGGAGGAAGGUGGGGAUGACGUCAAGUCAUCAUGGCCCUUACGACCAGGGCUACACACGUGCUACAAUGGCGCAUACAAAGAGAAGCGACCUCGCGAGAGCAAGCGGACCUCAUAAAGUGCGUCGUAGUCCGGAUUGGAGUCUGCAACUCGACUCCAUGAAGUCGGAAUCGCUAGUAAUCGUGGAUCAGAAUGCCACGGUGAAUACGUUCCCGGGCCUUGCACUCACCGCCCGUCA
This 1401-nucleotide ribosomal RNA is filed under the name uncultured bacterium. Its description in RNAcentral is "bacterial SSU rRNA". It matches the Rfam family "Bacterial small subunit ribosomal RNA". The record is from RNAcentral.